CAGUCGCCACGGGAAAACGGAGGGGGCUAGCGUUGUUCGGAAUUACUGGGCGUAAAGCGCACGUAGGCGGCUUGGUAAGUUAGAGGUGAAAGCCCGGAGCUCAACUCCGGAAUUGCCUUUAAGACUGCCGAGCUAGCAGGUGAGAGAGGUAAGUGGAAUUCCGAGUGUAGAGGUGAAAUUCGUAGAUAUUCGGAAGAACACCAGUGGCGAAGGCGGCUUACUGGCUCAUACUGGACGCUGAGGUGCGAAAGCGUGGGGAGCAAACAGGAUUAGAGACCCGAGUAGUCCCUGUCUCUUAUAC
Molecule: ribosomal RNA, 301 nt
Filed under: uncultured bacterium
Lineage: Bacteria
Description: partial 16S ribosomal RNA
Rfam family: Bacterial small subunit ribosomal RNA
Source: RNAcentral